ACUCCUACGGGAGGCAGUGGGGUAUAUUGCGCAAUGGGAGACAAGCCUGAAGCAGGGACGAUGCGUGAGGGAUGAAGGCCUUCGGGGUCGUAAACCUCUGUCAGGAGGGAAGAAAUGAGGGGGCUAAUAUCCAGGCUCGGCUUGACAGGUACCUGCCAGAGGAACGCCCCGGAUACACUCCGUGCCAGCAGCCGCGGUAAUA
RNAcentral lists this ribosomal RNA (202 nucleotides) under uncultured bacterium. RNAcentral's name for it is "partial 16S ribosomal RNA". It matches the Rfam family "Bacterial small subunit ribosomal RNA", at positions 335 to 525 of the family's 1533-position model. The record is from RNAcentral.